GAGUUUGAUCAUGGCUCAGAACGAACGCUGGCGGCAGGCUUAACACAUGCAAGUCGAGCGCUGUAGCAAUACAGAGCGGCGCACGGGGUGAGUAACACGUGGGAACAUGCCUUUCGGUUCGGAAUAACUCAGGGAAACUUGUGCUAAUACCGGAUACGCCCUUACGGGGAAAGAUUUAUUGCCGAAAGAGUGGCCCGCGUUGGAUUAGCUAGUUGGCGGGGUAAAAGCCCACCAAGGCGACGAUCCAUAGCUGGUCUGAGAGGACGACCAGCCACACUGGGACUGAGACACGGCCCAGACUCCUACGGGAGGCAGCAGUGGGGAAUCUUGGACAAUGGGGGAAACCCUGAUCCAGCCAUGCCGCGUGAGUGAUGAAGGCCCUAGGGUUGUAAAACUCUUUCGGCGGGGACGAUAAUGACGGUACCCGCAGAAGAAGCUCCGGCUAACUUCGUGCCAGCCGCCGCUGUAAC
RNAcentral lists this ribosomal RNA (470 nucleotides) under uncultured bacterium. RNAcentral's name for it is "bacterial SSU rRNA". It matches the Rfam family "Bacterial small subunit ribosomal RNA", at positions 9 to 524 of the family's 1533-position model. The record is from RNAcentral.